AUGAAGGUGCUGCAUGGUUGUCGUCAGCUCGUGCCGUGAGGUGUCGGCUUAAGUGCCAUAACGAGCGCAACCCUUUCUGCCAGUUACUAACAGGCAAUGCUGAGGACUCUGGCGGUACUGCCAUCGUAAGAUGUGAGGAAGGUGGGGAUGACGUCAAAUCAGCACGGCCCUUACGUCCGGGGCUACACACGUGUUACAAUGGGGGGUACAGAAGGCCGCUUGCCGGCGACGGCUGGCCAAUCCUCAAAUCCCCUCUCAGUUCGGACUGGAGUCUGCAACCCGACUCCACGAAGCUGGAUUCGCUAGUAAUCGCGCAUCAGCCACGGCGCGGUGAAUACGUUCCCGGGCCUUGUACACACCGCCCGUCAAGCCAUGAAAGCCGGGAGUACCUGAAGUGCGUAACCGCGAGGAGCGCCCUAGGGUAACACUGGUAAUUGGGGCUAAGUCGUAACAAGGUAGCCGUACCGGAAGGUGCGGCUGGAACACCUCCUUUCUGGAG
Molecule: ribosomal RNA, 499 nt
Filed under: Bacteroides caecigallinarum
Lineage: Bacteria; Pseudomonadati; Bacteroidota; Bacteroidia; Bacteroidales; Bacteroidaceae
Description: bacterial SSU rRNA
Rfam family: Bacterial small subunit ribosomal RNA
Source: RNAcentral